UGGCGAUCUCUUAAAAUAAAGCCUAGCGUCAUAAUCCCUCCACGUUUUUUCAAAGAAAAACAUGCAUUUCAAGGCGCUAUGGAUUUCAAAGACCAUGGAUUUACUCAGAACUUAUGGGUUUUAAAAAAGGCUUUAAAAGGAAAUAACUAAAAAACUUUUCCAAUAAUUUAAGAUGAUACCGGGGAAGGUUUUCCGGUUUGUUCCGGAGGGCUUGUAGCUCAGUUGGUU
This 228-nucleotide unclassified non-coding RNA is filed under the name uncultured Bartonella sp. RNAcentral describes it as "partial 16S-23S ribosomal RNA intergenic spacer". The record is from RNAcentral. Lineage: Bacteria; Pseudomonadati; Pseudomonadota; Alphaproteobacteria; Hyphomicrobiales; Bartonellaceae.